GACGAACGCUGGCGGCGUGCUUAACACAUGCAAGUCGAACGGAAAGGCCCUGCUUUUGUGGGGUGCUCGAGUGGCGAACGGGUGAGUAACACGUGAGUAACCUGCCCUUGACUUUGGGAUAACUUCAGGAAACUGGGGCUAAUACCGGAUAGGAGCUCCUGCUGCAUGGUGGGGGUUGGAAAGUUUCGGCGGUUGGGGAUGGACUCGCGGCUUAUCAGCUUGUUGGUGGGGUAGUGGCUUUCCAAGGCUUUGACGGGUAGCCGGCCUGAGAGGGUGAACGGCCACAUUGGGACUGAGAUACGGCCCAGACUCCUACGGGAGGCAGCAGUGGGGAAUAUUGCACAAUGGGCGGAAGCCUGAUGCAGCAACGCCGCGUGCGGGAUGACGGCCUUCGGGUUGUAAACCGCUUUCGCCUGUGACGAAGCGUGAGUGACGGUAAUGGGUAAAGAAGCACCGGCUAACUACGUG
This 468-nucleotide ribosomal RNA is filed under the name uncultured bacterium. RNAcentral's name for it is "partial 16S ribosomal RNA". It matches the Rfam family "Bacterial small subunit ribosomal RNA", at positions 28 to 507 of the family's 1533-position model. The record is from RNAcentral.